GUGCCAGCCGCCGCGGUAAUUCCAGCUCCAAUAGCGUAUAUUAAAGUUGUUGUGGUUAAAAAGCUCGUAGUUGAACCUUGGGCCUGGCUGGCCGGUCCGCCUCACCGCGUGCACUGGUCCGGCCGGGCCUUUCCCUCUGUGGAACCCCAUACCCUUCACUGGGCGUGGCGGGGAAACAGGACAUUUACUUUGAAAGAAUUAGAGUGCUCCAGGCAGGCCUAUGCUCGAAUACAUUAGCAUGGAAUAAUAAAAUAGGACGCGCGGUUCUAUUUUGUUGGUUUAUAGGACCGCCGUAAUGAUUAAUAGGGACAGUCGGGGGCAUCAGUAUUCAACUGUCAGAGGUGAAAUUCUUGGAUCAGUUGAAGACUAACUACUGCGAAAGCAUUUGCCAAGGAUGUUUUCAUUAAUCAGGAACGAAAGUUAGGGGAUCGAAGACGAUCAGAUACCGUCGUAGUCUUAACCAUAAACUAUGCCGACUAGGGAUCGGACGGUGUUAUUCAUGACCCGUUCGGCACCUUACGAGAAAUCAAAGUGCUUGGGCUCCAGGGGGAGUAUGGUCGCAAGGCUGAAACUUAAAGAAAUUGACGGAAGGGCACCACCAGGGGUGGAGCCUGCGGCUUAAUUUGACUCAACACGGGGAAACUCACCAGGUCCAGACACAAUAAGGAUUGACAGAUUGAGAGCUCUUUCUUGAUUUUGUGGGUGGUGGUGCAUGGCCGUUCUUAGUUGGUGGGGUGACUUGUCUGCUUAAUUGCGAUAACGAACGAGACCUUAACCUGCUAAAUAGCCCGCAUGCUCCGGCAGUGCGCUGGCUUCUUAGAGGGACUUUCGGCUCAAGCCGAAGGAAGUUUGAGGCA
RNAcentral lists this ribosomal RNA (857 nucleotides) under uncultured fungus. RNAcentral's name for it is "SSU rRNA". It matches the Rfam family "Eukaryotic small subunit ribosomal RNA", at positions 564 to 1452 of the family's 1831-position model. Lineage: Eukaryota; Fungi. The record is from RNAcentral.